UACGAAGGGGGCUAGCGUUGCUCGGAUUGACUGGGCGUAAAGGGCGCGUAGGCGGUUCGUACAGUCAGACGUGAAAUUCCUGGGCUCAACCUGGGGGCUGCGUUUGAUACGUGCGGACUUGAGUGCGGAAGAGGGUCGUGGAAUUCCCAGUGUAGAGGUGAAAUUCGUAGAUAUUGGGAAGAACACCGGUGGCGAAGGCGACUCACUGGCCCGAUACUGACGCUGAGGCGCGAAAGCGUGGGGAGCAAACAGG
Molecule: ribosomal RNA, 253 nt
Filed under: uncultured bacterium
Lineage: Bacteria
Description: partial 16S ribosomal RNA
Rfam family: Bacterial small subunit ribosomal RNA
Source: RNAcentral